CCUGUGCACGAUGAUCUAAUUCAUGCUAAAUGUUUAUUUCUUAUGGAUCAGCAUUUAGAAGAGGCUCUUGUUCCAUUGUCAAAAGAGAGAGAAAGCUUGUUGCAAGAGCAUAAAGCUUUGAAGGAAAGGCUUGAUCAGGAGUAUGAUCAGCUGGCUGAAAGAAAAAGGGGAUUCCAGCAAGAAAUAGAUGCACUUGGAACCCUUAACACACGCAUCAAAGAGUACCUGGAUGCAAAGAAAGUAGAGAAGCUUAAUGAACUGCAGGAAAGGCAUACCCUAUCCCUGUCUCAGUUACAGAAAUGUGAGGCAAGAAAGCAAGACAUCUCGGUUGAGCUUGACAAGAGCAAACAGCUAUUGCGGAGCCAAGAUCAAUUGAAAAGAAACAUCGAUGACAAUCUGAACUACAGGAAAACAAAGGCUGAAGUGGAUCGACUUGCUCAUGAUAUCGAGUUACUUGAAGAAAAUGUGCUUUCUAUCGGCAGCAAAUCCACUAUAGGAGCUGAUCAUAAGCGGCAUGCUCAAGAGAAGGAGAGGCUUCUUUCAGAGGGGAGUAGGUGUGAAGGAACAAUUCCUGUUUACCAAAGUAAUAUUUCAAAGCACAAACUUGAGCUUAAACAGACACAAUAUAAGGAUAUUGAGAAGAGAUAUUUUAACCAACUUCUCCAACUUAAGACAACUGAGAUGGCAAAUAAGGACUUGGACCGAUACUAUACUGCUUUGGAUAAGGCUCUUAUGCGGUUCCAUACCAUGAAAAUGGAGGAGAUAAAUAAAAUAAUAAAGGAACUGUGGCAGCAGACAUACAGAGGCCAAGAUAUUGAUUGCAUAAGCAUCAGUUCUGACUCUGAGGGUGCAGGCACUCGACCAUAUAGCUAUCGUGUUGUCAUGCAAAAUGGUGGUGCUGAGCUGGAAAUGCGAGGACGAUGCAGUGCUGGUCAGAAGGUUCUUGCUUCUCUCAUAAUCAGACUGGCACUGGCAGAGACAUUCUGUCUGAAUUGUGGCAUAUUAGCUCUGGAUGAGCCAACCACCAAUCUUGACGGGCCGAAUGCGGAGAGCCUAGCUGCUGCCCUAUUGAGAAUAAUGGAAAGCAGAAAAGGCCAGGAGAACUUCCAGCUGAUUGUAAUCACCCAUGAUGAGCGGUUUGUUCAGCUUAUUGGUCAGAGGCAGCUUGCCGAGAAGUACUACCGAGUUUCUAAGGAUGAGCAACAACACAGCAAAAUUGAAGCCCAGGAGAUAUUUGACUGA
This 1242-nucleotide ribosomal RNA is filed under the name Triticum aestivum (bread wheat). RNAcentral describes it as "partial small subunit ribosomal RNA". Lineage: Eukaryota; Viridiplantae; Streptophyta; Magnoliopsida; Poales; Poaceae. The record is from RNAcentral.